RNAcentral lists this long non-coding RNA (246 nucleotides) under Callithrix jacchus (white-tufted-ear marmoset). Its description in RNAcentral is "lncRNA (ENSCJAG00000085772.1)". The record is from RNAcentral. Lineage: Eukaryota; Metazoa; Chordata; Mammalia; Primates; Cebidae.
AUGUCACAGCUCAAGGAGGCUGACGAAAGGUGCUGUAAGGAAACUGCCUACGGCUCCUUUCCCAGGAUAAUAAGAAGUGCCUUUUGCCUCCGCCAUGAUUCUGACCCCCUCCCCGCCCAGCCAUGGGGAACUUGUAUCUCCAGGACCUGGUAUACUUGUUAUGCGUUCUGGAUCCCUACAUGGUAUUUAAGUCAGAGCAAGAGAACAAGGGCUGUGGAAAACAAGUGGACUUCAGAUUUGGCCUAA